AUGAAAUGAAUGUCGAAAGGGGUUGUAGCUGGCCUCUUGAGGCAUGUGCACACCUUUAUCGCACAUAUCUACAUCUCACACCUGUGCACAACCUGUAGCUUGGGAUGAUUACAAUACCGGAAACGGUAUUGAAAGCCCUCGCUAUGAAUUUUUAUACAACCGUAUUAAAAGUUAUAGAAUGUUUAAUGUUAUAGCGUGUAACAGCGCGAAUAAAUAUA
Molecule: unclassified non-coding RNA, 218 nt
Filed under: uncultured Pseudotomentella
Lineage: Eukaryota; Fungi; Basidiomycota; Agaricomycetes; Thelephorales; Thelephoraceae
Description: sequence contains ITS1
Source: RNAcentral